Numida meleagris (helmeted guineafowl) is the source of this 3299-nucleotide long non-coding RNA. RefSeq lists it as uncharacterized. The transcript is spliced from 2 exons. NCBI's taxonomy places the organism in Eukaryota, Metazoa, Chordata, Aves, Galliformes, Numididae. The record is from RefSeq and is a predicted model, not a curated record.
AGAGGAGAAAAGUACUGUGGGGACUGUAGUAGUCCUUCUCUUCUGAGAACCAGGUAUAUCCACUACAUGACGUUAUGAUGUGGAAUACCAAUAACUGAAAAUCACAAAACCAUGACAGAGAGGAAGAGUGCUCAUGGAGAGAACUGUUCGUGGUCAGCUCCAGGAGGUGCUGCUUGGAGCCACAUUUCUGGCAACUUUGUCAUCACGGGACCGAAAGCCUCCAGCAAAGCCUCAGCCAGACAGAGCAGAAUUAAACCAGCUGAGUAAGUGCAAAAGACCUUAAGGUUGCAAACAGAAGAUUUAACAAUUUCCAGGAUGUUUUAGAGGUUCAAAACAUUAGUCCCAUCACCCUGUCCAUCUUCCAACACAACCUUUUCCUGUGUUAUUUGCAGUUAAUAUUUAUGACAGUUAGCAAUUGUUUGCCCUAAUUAAUGAGCUAGAGAUUAAAUAAGAUGUUUGUUUAUAUAUAUAUAUAUUUUAAAUAAACACAUCCACAACCAAGUUACAAGCAUCCCCUUCAACUGAGGAAUGCUAACAUCACGAGUACUGUAGCACUCAUGCAUAUCAUAACCACCUCCUUUCUCCUGCAAAAGAAUCCAUGGAAGCCUACAGCUAAUGCAAGACAUUCAGUUACAGCAUGAUCACACCAGACAAUGUAAUAUCCAUUUGAUACAAAACCAAAAACUGUUUGUCAGACAAAUUCCGAGCUGGACUAACUGAAAGGGUCUGAUUUUUUCAACUGAUUUUUUAAGAUUAAUGUCAGACUUUGGUGAGAGGCAGUGCAAAUGGGAUAUUGUUUUGCUUUAUACCACUCAUCUGUAAAGAACACAAUUCCCAGGUCUAGCAAGUCACUUCCUAAAAGGAAUAAAUUUUAAAAAACGUUCAAAAUAUUAAACUAGUUCCAUUUCUGAAUGGAAUUGUCAUGUGCAAAUGAGGCAGAGAUGGGUUCUGGGGCUGUUCUCCCUGUCAGAACGGAGCAGUAGAGCUGACCAUUGUAAUUUUAGUUUUGAUAUUACAGUCUUCAACUCAUUUGGAAAGAAAGCCUACAGGAGGAGAUUUGAUUACGAUUCUCUCCCUCAUUCCUACACUCCCUACUCACACCAACCUUAAUGAUUCUAUGAUUCUGUGGUUCCCAGCUCAGUCUAGGGGACAAGCAGAUCUGCAAUGGCUCAACUAGAUUAGAAAGCUGCAUGAUUUAGUGCUGGUAUAGAAUUCAUUUUUACCUUCAGAGAGAUAGAGUAUCUGCAUUAAGUAUCUGCCUGUUUUAGAUUUUGAUCUCCUAGCCCCACAUUAUUGUGACACUAACCAGCUUUCAGAGUGUUUUCUCCCUCAGCCCACCUGCAGACUUGGGCAGUGCUCUGUCCCCUUUACAUUACACCUCAGGAUCAAAGGUGCAGUGUUUCUUGCUUCUAGCUAAUAAGGAAAUACUUAAUCUGACAAGAAUUAAAUUGGUAUUUCAGAUGCUAGGCCAGUGGUGAAAAUACUGCAGAGAGUGAUUUUAACCAUUCAUAAUACAUACCCCAGAAGUUCCCCAAUAAACAUGCAGAUGUCUGUCUGAUGAUUUCAAAGACAAUGACAACAGGCUCGCUUUCCUAGUCACCUUUCACAGACUCUUUAGUCUGGGAAAUCACAGGUUAAGCACCUCUACUCUAAAACCUCAGCAGAGAUUUUUCAUAUCCAGGGUUUCUGCUUCUGAAAUUUCCCUCAAAGGGAACCUGCUGCCAACCAGCAAUCUCCACUUGGUGAACUCCUCUCCAGCUGCUGGAAUAGGCUUGGCUUCAGCUUUGCUCAGCACCCAAAGAGUUUUACCAUCAGUCAGCAAAAGUAAAAGCAUUACAAGUCAACAGCAUUAAUCUCACGGUCUCUGAAGGCUGGAAUUUAUUCAUUUAAUUAUUUCCCACUUGUUCUCUACAGCCCAUGUGAUCCCACAGCACUGGGUGCCAGUCACACCACUGAUAUAUUGACUAAUAAACUGAAUCUUGGCUGGAGAUCAGCAAACAAUUCAGAGAUCAAAGCCAAUUACGAUGGAGAAAUCUGCUGAACUUGUACCAAACAGUAAGAUCUGUUCAUAUGAAGAAAGAGAAAAAUGAUCACUGUAAUAGCUAAACCAUUGAAAUGCUGUCAAAAGGAUACAUCAGGGUAAGUAAAGUCAGUCCCAGCCAGCCAGCAUUCGGACAUAAUUUAAAGUAACAUUUGCACUAAGCUGAUAAUGCCAGGCUGUGUACUGCAAAAAGGCAGCGGUUUGUGUUCAGACAAAGCUAGGUUCUGGGGCAGACAAGGCCUUCUUAUGUCCUAAACAAUACAUUUUUGGAGCUGCCAGCAACCUCAUCCCCAAGAUCUUUACUCAGAAACAAAGUAGACCACUGCAAAUCUGUGGCUCUAAAUGAAUUUUGAGUGGUUGAGAACAUUUCUGGAACUGACUAAAGCAGGCUAUUUUCCUGUGACUCAUUUUUGCCUGAACUCUUGCAGUUUCCACAUCUUCACCACCCUCCCCCUGUGCACGUUUGCCAGGCUCUGUGGGUUAAGGACCAGCUGAAGGCAGAAAUGCGUUCCUGAAGAGAUUGCUCCCAGCAGCAAGGGAGCUUGCUUCUGCAAGGAGAGCAACAUCUCAGCGACAUGUGUAGCCCAGCACACAACAGGGAGGCUGCAUGCCUCCUGGAUGAAGUAGCACUGUCUUUUUAGUCAUCAUGUUAGCCUGAAUGAGGACUGGAAUCCUAAGGUUUAUAAAGCUAAAGGGUAUUUCAACCUCCUCCUACUGAGCUUAAUUAAAAACACAACUAAGCAUAAAGCCGUGGCAGCACUCAGCUGCAAGUUGUAUUGUCAGCAGUCCACAUCUAGCAAGGAGGACCCGGGAGUUAUUUAAAGCUGUGAUCAUGGGUAAUUACCUUGCCAAGCAGCCAGGGUAAAGCUGAUGCUUAUUAUUCUCACUCUUACACCAUUCAAUCUUAAUCACCUUUUAAAAAAUGAAUAUUGUAAGAAACCAAGGCUCUUUUUUUUUUUUUUCCCCUGUGAACGGCUGAAAAGAUUUAUCAGCUCUGCUCUAUUUAGGUUCCAUUGGGAAUGCAGGGCCUACUUCUUCAAGCAACUUCAAAAAUCCCACCCAAAGUAUGAUGAGCCAAAUCCCCAGGGCCAUCAGCUCCCAGAGGGCUAAUGCAGAUACACACCCAGGGCAAGUAAUCAGCAUCGGCAGUGGAUCUGCAUGCAUACACUGGUGCAUUUGACAAACACAUUUCCUGAAUGACGUGUCAUUGCUCUGGUGGUUCUCAAACAUUAAAAUCAGGAAGAAGCAUAAAAAGAUA